Molecule: long non-coding RNA, 440 nt
Organism: Lotus japonicus
Lineage: Eukaryota; Viridiplantae; Streptophyta; Magnoliopsida; Fabales; Fabaceae
Exons: 2
Source: RefSeq, a predicted model, not a curated record
UUUCACCCAUGAAUGAGCAAAAUUAUCUGCUACAGCAUGUGAUAGUGACCUGUUGAGAAAAAAAUAAAAAAGCAGUGUUACAAAAAUGUCCUCUCUCUCCACACCUAUCUCACGCUCUUCUCCCUCAACCCCAUUAUCUGAUUUUCAAUUUCAAUUGUAUUCUCCUCUUGAUCUUCAUGAAAACUUUGACCGGCAAGACCAUCACCUUGGAGGUGGAGAGUUCAGAUACCAUUGAUAACGCAAAAGCCAAGAUCCAAGAUAAGGAAGGGAUCCCAGCUGAUCAGCAAAGGUUCAUCUUUAAUGGAUUGGAGGAUGGAAGAGAUGAUUGAAGACUAAACAUGAAACCUGGACAAUCAAAUAACAAAUUUUAUUUUUGUAUAAUUUGUUUAACAACAAUGAUAUAUACACACCUCAUUUUUUAUACACUUUAUUUCCACCUA